RNAcentral lists this ribosomal RNA (460 nucleotides) under uncultured bacterium. Its description in RNAcentral is "partial 16S ribosomal RNA". It matches the Rfam family "Bacterial small subunit ribosomal RNA", at positions 338 to 795 of the family's 1533-position model. The record is from RNAcentral.
CCUACGGGAGGCAGCAGUGAGGAAUAUUGGUCAAUGGACGAGAGUCUGAACCAGCCAAGUAGCGUGAAGGAUGACUGCCCUAUGGGUUGUAAACUUCUUUUAUAAAGGAAUAAAACGAGGCACGUGUGCCGUUUUGCAUGUACUUUAUGAAUAAGGAUCGGCUAACUACGUGCCAGCAGCCGCGGUAAUACGGAGGAUCCGAGCGUUAUCCGGAUUUAUUGGGUUUAAAGGGAGCGUAGAUGGGGUGUUAUGUCAGUUGUGAAAGUUUGCGGCUCAACCGUAAAAUUGCAAUUGAUACUGGCAGUCUUGAGUGCAGUUGGGGUAGGCGGAAUUCGUGGUGUAGCGGUGAAAUGCUUAGAUAUCACGAAGAACCCCGAUUGCGAAGGCAGGUGACUGAACUGUGACUGACAUUGAGGCUCGAAAGUGUGGGUAUCAAACAGGAUUAGAUACCCGUGUAGUC